RNAcentral lists this ribosomal RNA (484 nucleotides) under uncultured bacterium. RNAcentral describes it as "partial 16S ribosomal RNA". It matches the Rfam family "Bacterial small subunit ribosomal RNA", at positions 30 to 507 of the family's 1533-position model. The record is from RNAcentral.
AUUGAACGCUGGCGGCAUGCUUUACACAUGCAAGUCGAACGGCAGCGCGGGCUUCUGCCUGGCGGCGAGUUGCGAACGGGUGAGUAAUUCAUCGGAACAUGCCCAGUAGUUGGGGAUAGGACGGCGAAAGCCGGAUUAAUACCGCAUACGACAUUAUGUUGAAACGGGUGGACCGAAAGGCCUCGCCCGAUUUGAGCGGCCGAUGUCGCAUUAGCUAGUUGGUGGGGUAAAGGCUUACCAAGGCGACGAUCCGUAGCUGGUCUGAGAGGACGACCAGCCACACUGGAACUGAGACACGGCCCAGACUCCUACAGGAGGCAGCAGUGGGGAAUUUUGGACAAUGGGCGAAACCCUGAUCCAGCCAUGCCGCGUGCGGGAAGAAGGCCUUCGGGUUGUAAACCGCUUUUGUUAGGGAAGAAAUACUCUGGGCUAAUACCCCGGGGGGAUGACGGUACCGGAAGAAUAAGCACCGGCUAACUACGUG